CCUACGGGGGGCUGCAGUGAGGAAUAUUGGUCAAUGGACGAGAGUCUGAACCAGCCAAGUAGCGUGAAGGAUGACUGCCCUAUGGGUUGUAAACUUCUUUUAUAUGGGAAUAAAACAGGGUACGCAUACCCUCUUGUAUGUACCAUAUGAAUAAGGAUCGGCUAACUCCGUGCCAGCAGCCGCGGUAAUACGGAGGAUCCGAGCGUUAUCCGGAUUUAUUGGGUUUAAAGGGGGCGGAGGUGGGCUGUUAAGUCAGGUGGGAAAGUCCGGGGCUCAACCGUAACAGUGCAGUUGAAACUGGCAGGCUGGAGUACAGUAGAGGUAGGCGGAAUGCGUGGUGUAGCGGUGAAAUGCUUAGAUAUCACGAAGAACUCCGAUUGCGAAGGCAGCUCACUGGACUGCAACUGACGCUGAUGCACGAAAGUGUGGGUAUCAAACAGGAUUAGAUACCCUUGUAGUC
Molecule: ribosomal RNA, 460 nt
Filed under: uncultured bacterium
Lineage: Bacteria
Description: partial 16S ribosomal RNA
Rfam family: Bacterial small subunit ribosomal RNA
Source: RNAcentral